RNAcentral lists this long non-coding RNA (1970 nucleotides) under Cricetulus griseus (Chinese hamster). Its description in RNAcentral is "lncRNA (ENSCGRG00015034002.1)". The record is from RNAcentral. Lineage: Eukaryota; Metazoa; Chordata; Mammalia; Rodentia; Cricetidae.
CUUUUGAGGAACGGGGCUUCCUUUGUGUGCCGGACUGGGAGGCCCGUUUGCACAAACAUCCUGCAAUAAACUUACCUCUUGUUUUUACAUCAGCUGGACUGGACAUUGAGUUUUUUGGGGGAAACUGUCCAAUUUGUGGAGGCUCCUCGCUCUGAGGGUCUUUCAAGCAGAACAGAGACCACACGGAGGGAUAGACCAGGCCGAAGCAAUGGAGAAGACUCCCUUGGUCAGGAAUCCUUCUUCAUUUGGGAUGGAGGGAGCAUCAUGAAGCCAGAAAUGUGAACUAAGGAAGACACGUGGUACACCUCUACUUCAGACAGUUAAACACAUUAACAGAAUUCCUAGGGAAACAUCCAAAAGGACAGGAACGAAAGGGUUGAACUUACGCAGCACAUGAGGCCUGUGGAACACAUUGAUGUGCUUAAUCGUCGUGAUCACCCCAGAAAGACCAUAUGACUGCUCGAGCCUCACGGGGAAGAAACAAGGAACCUUGAUCGAGAUUCUGGUACAUUGGAAUUCAUCAUGGAAUUGACACUAUCACUUGUGCUGUACGUGGACCGAAAUACCUGACUCUGACUUCAAUUCCACACGCCAUCUCAGCACAGCCACUUGUCAUGGAAGAGAGGAAGCCUCGAACCCCUUUGCUAGUAGCUGAGGGAUGUGUGGUGCACUGCCUGGUCAGUAGGGCACAUAGAAGGGGUAUCUUCUGGAAGAGUCUAUGACGUAGCAGCGAAAUCAAAAGUGAUGAGCCGACAUCCCCGGGAGAAUGCUCUGUGCACCAGUGGUCUUGCCAACAAGCACUGAAACGCAUUGCAUCCUCGUCUUCUGCAAAGCUUUAGAAUGCCCAUCUAAAACACCAGUUUUCGUUAACCUCAGACAUCCUUAACACAUUUCACCAAACAAGAACACCCCUCCUCAAGUAACAUCCAUUACCUUUGCACAGCCCCCAAGGGAAGGCAGAGCAUAUCUGAGGGAAAUGGUACUAGAAGAUUCCAGAAGCCCAAGCAGAAAUUCUGAACUAUUUCUUACCUCUGCUGUGCCUGGCGAUGCUUCUUACACUUUGCAAUGUGAAGCCAUUGUUUAAGCCGCACUGCCCUCUGAUCUUCACACAUGUAAGCAUGGAACAAGCAUUAACUGAAGGUACUUCUCCAUUCCCCUGCACCCUCCCAGGCGAGAAGGACCCUGCAAACACACAGCUCCUGGCUGAAAAGACUAUCUAAAAGGGAAGACAGACAUAUGAACACACAAGAGUAAAAAUCUUCUAUGAGGCAAAGUACACUUGUGGAGCUGGGGUGAGGUACAGGGAAGCCUCCCGUGAAGUGGGUUCUAAGAAGCAAUCAGAAGAGGAAACCCUUGGAGCUGUAAGGAAGCACCCCGCCCCCACCCCCGGCCACAUGGAGAAGUGCAUAUGGAGAGAGCUGUCCAGAAAACCCACUCUCCUAACGGUCACAGUCCAAUCCUCAGACACAUCUUCGAUAACUCAGUCCUAAUGAACCCAGAACGAGAAGAACCAAGGAGUCAGCCGGCCACCAGAACCCUGGCAGUACAACCCCUGCAAAAAUGGCCAGGCAGCCCCAGUUACUCAAAUGGCCUUCAUCAGGACCCAACCAUUGUGAACCAGAGACAAGCUCUCCUCUGCACUGUUCCAAUUCCUAGCCCAAAGAACUGCGGAUAUCAUAAGAUGGAGCUGUUGUUUGGUGCCACUCACACCUGGGGUGGUUUCUCACACAGCAGGAGACCGACAGAACCCUGGAGAAGCUUGGACAAUAAAUAAUCUAAUGGAAAUGAGUUGUUUAGUGAAUAACGGAAGAGCUACAGCUUGGGAAGAAAGGGUUCUGAGGUCCGAAGGUGGUGGUGGCCCCAACACAAUGCGACACCUUAAUGCCGCUGUACCCAACACUUUAAAACGACCGCUGUAAUACACUGUGUGUCACAGGCAUUUUACACAAUGGUUUUUUUUUUUUCAAUCC